Molecule: long non-coding RNA, 511 nt
Filed under: Dermacentor andersoni
Lineage: Eukaryota; Metazoa; Arthropoda; Arachnida; Ixodida; Ixodidae
Description: uncharacterized LOC126529692
Source: RNAcentral
GGCUCCAUUCCUGCAUGGGAAUUAAGAAAUCUUUUUUGCAGUAACCGCUGCUGCGAUAUUUAUGAUCCGGCAGGCGUGCCCCCGUGAUGGCCAGUGGUGUGCGCCAGCUGCCCUGCCCGUAUUGCCCGAUGCGGUUCAAGCGCCGGUGGAACCUCAACAUGCACGUGCACACACACACGGGCGAGCGCCCUUACCAGUGCUGCUACUGCUUCCGGGCCUUCGCCGACCGGUCCAACAUGCGCAAGCACAUACUCAUCCACACAUGCAAGCAACCCAUGGCUUGACAUUGCCCGUGCAGCUUGGGCUUUGCUGGCCCACUUGCCGUUGGGUCAUGUCUGAAAUGUGACUCCAUUGUCCAUAGACUGGAAACGUUGGAAUGCAAGGGCAGUGCUGUGUCAGCAAUGCACAGACAUUUUGUUUUUAUCAAACGCUUUCCAACUUUGCUACAUGGUGUCAAAUUGUUUGUGAAGGUGUUUGCAUUGUUUUUUCUAAUAAAAAAUUAAAAUGCUGA